AAAAGUUUUAUUCUAGUAAUAGUAAUUAUUUAAUUUAUUUUUUAAAUAUAUUUAUUUAGAUUUAUUAAAUGUAAUUUAUCAAAUUUUUUAUUAACUAAAGUUAGAAAAAGAAUUAAAUUUUAUUAUAGAUUAAUAUUGUGCCAGCAAUCGCGGUUAUACAAUUUAUAAAAGUAAUUAUUAUAAAAUUGAAUUUUAUUAAUUUAUUUAAAAAUAAAUUAAAUUUUAGUAAUUUUGGGUAAAAUUUAAUUAUAAUUUAAUUUAUUUUUAAUUAAGUGAUUAUAAUUAAAAGAUUAAAUAUUAAACUAGGAUUAGAUACCCUAUUAUUUUGAUUGUAAAUGGUUAUUUGGGUAGUAUCAGCUAUAGUCUAAAAACUCAAAGAAUUUGGCGGUAUUUUAUUUCGGUUAGAGGAAUAUGUUUAUGAAUUGAUAAUCCACAAUAAUCUAACUUAAAUUUGUUUAGCAUUUUGUAUAUCUCCGUCAUAAGAAUUUUUUAUUAGAAAAUUUAUCUGAAUAUAAUUAUAUAAAAUGUCAGGUCAAGGUGCAGAUUAUGUUUAAGGUUAAAUGUAUUACAAUAAAUUUAUUUUUUGGAAUUUUUUUUGAAAAUUAAAUUGAAAUUGGAUUUAAUAGUAAAUUUAAAAUAUUAAUUUAAGUUGAAAUGAUUUUAAAAUAUGUACAUAUCGCCCGUCACUCUCUUUAUAAAAGAGAUAAGUCGUAACAAAGUAGAUUUAUUGGAAAAUGAAUCUGGAAUUU
RNAcentral lists this non-coding RNA (749 nucleotides) under Prionoglaris stygia. The record is from RNAcentral. Lineage: Eukaryota; Metazoa; Arthropoda; Insecta; Psocodea; Prionoglarididae.